RNAcentral lists this ribosomal RNA (459 nucleotides) under uncultured bacterium. Its description in RNAcentral is "partial 16S ribosomal RNA". It matches the Rfam family "Bacterial small subunit ribosomal RNA", at positions 338 to 795 of the family's 1533-position model. The record is from RNAcentral.
CCUACGGGAGGCAGCAGUGAGGAAUAUUGGUCAAUGGUCGGGAGACUGAACCAGCCAAGCCGCGUGAGGGAGGAAGGUACAGAGUAUCGUAAACCUCUUUUGUCAGGGAACAAAGACUGGGACGCGUCCCCGGAUGAGUGUACCUGAAGAAACAGCAUCGGCUAACUCCGUGCCAGCAGCCGCGGUAAUACGGGGGAUGCGAGCGUUAUCCGGAUUUAUUGGGUUUAAAGGGUGCGCAGGCGGUCUGUUAAGUCAGCGGUAAAAGCCCGGGGCUCAACCCCGGCCCGCCGUUGAAACUGGCAGUCUCGAGUUGGAGAGAAGUAUGCGGAAGGCGCGGUGUAGCGGUGAAAUGCAGAGAUAUCGCGCAGAACUCCGAUUGCGAAGGCAGCAUGCCGGCUCCACACUGACACUGAGGCACGAAAGCGUGGGUAUCGAACAGGAUUAGAUACCCUAGUAGUC